UACGUAGGGUGCAGGCGUUAAUCGGAAUUACUGGGCGUAAAGCGUGCGCAGGCGGUCUUUUAAGUCAGAUGUGAAAUCCCCGGGCUUAGCCUGGGAACUGCGUUUGAAACUGGAAGGCUUGAGUGUGGCAGAGGGGGGUGGAAUUCCACGUGUAGCAGUGAAAUGCGUAGAUAUGUGGAGGAACACCGAUGGCGAAGGCAGCCCCCUGGGCUAACACUGACGCUCAUGCACGAAAGCGUGGGGAGCAAACAGG
RNAcentral lists this ribosomal RNA (253 nucleotides) under uncultured bacterium. RNAcentral describes it as "partial 16S ribosomal RNA". It matches the Rfam family "Bacterial small subunit ribosomal RNA", at positions 524 to 776 of the family's 1533-position model. The record is from RNAcentral.